This 404-nucleotide ribosomal RNA is filed under the name uncultured bacterium. RNAcentral's name for it is "partial 16S ribosomal RNA". It matches the Rfam family "Bacterial small subunit ribosomal RNA", at positions 28 to 526 of the family's 1533-position model. The record is from RNAcentral.
GACGAACGCUGGCGGCGUGCUUAACACAUGCAAGUCGAGCGGAGCGGCGAACGGGUGAGUAACGCGUGAGUAACUGCCCCCCUCUCUGGGUUAACAGUUGGAAACGGCUGCUAAUACCGGAUAGUGGGGGAUGACUCGCGUCCAAUCAGCUUGUUGGUGGGGUAGUGGCCUACCCAGGCGACGACGGGUGGCCGGCCUGAGAGGGCGACCGGCCAGAUGGGGCUGAGAUACGGCCCAAACUCCGACGGGAAGCAGCAGGAGGGAAUAUUGCACAAUGGGGGAAACCCGGAUGCAGCAACGCGCGUGGGGGAUGACGGCCUGCAGGUUGUAAACCGCUUGCAUCCAUGACUCGGUAGUGGCAGAAGAAGCACGGGCUAACUACGUGCCAGCAGCCGCGGUAAUAC